GUCCACGCCCUAAACGUUGGGCACUAGGUGUGGGAGGUAUUGACCCCUUCCGUGCCGUAGCUAACGCGAUAAGUGCCCCGCCUGGGGAGUACGGCCGCAAGGCUAAAACUCAAAGGAAUUGACGGGGGCCCGCACAAGCAGCGGAGCGUGUGGUUUAAUUCGAUGCAACGCGAAGAACCUUACCAGGGCUUGACAUGCUGGUAGUACCGAACCGAAAGGCGAGGGACCCUUCGGGGAGCCAGCACAGGUGUUGCAUGGCUGUCGU
Molecule: ribosomal RNA, 265 nt
Filed under: uncultured bacterium
Lineage: Bacteria
Description: partial 16S ribosomal RNA
Rfam family: Bacterial small subunit ribosomal RNA
Source: RNAcentral